AGCGAACGCUGGCGGCAGGCCUAACACAUGCAAGUCGAACGGGCUUCUUCGGAGGGCAGUGGCAGACGGGUGGGUAACGCGGGGCAAGGGGCCCUUCCGUUCGGAUCAACUCAUGGGAACUGGAGCUAAUACCGGAUACGCCCCUAUUGGGGAAGGUUUACUGCCGAAGGAACGGGCCGAGCUUGAGUAGUUUGUCGGUUGGGUAACGGCCUACCAAGGCGACGAUCAGUAGCUGGGAUGAGAGGAUGAUCAGCCACACUGUGGCUGGGACACGGCCCGGACUCUUACGGGAGGCAGCAGUGGGGAAUAUUGGCAAAUGGGGGCGAGCAUGAACCAGCCAUGCUGGGUGAGUGAUUAAGGCCUUAGGGUUGUAAAGCACGUUUGUACGGGGCUGUAAUGACGGUACCGGAAGAAUAAGCCCCGGCUAACUUCGUG
RNAcentral lists this ribosomal RNA (435 nucleotides) under uncultured bacterium. RNAcentral describes it as "partial 16S ribosomal RNA". It matches the Rfam family "Bacterial small subunit ribosomal RNA", at positions 30 to 507 of the family's 1533-position model. The record is from RNAcentral.